Molecule: long non-coding RNA, 486 nt
Organism: Telopea speciosissima
Lineage: Eukaryota; Viridiplantae; Streptophyta; Magnoliopsida; Proteales; Proteaceae
Exons: 3
Source: RefSeq, a predicted model, not a curated record
AAGAUGGGUUACUGCAACAUCAAAGAGUUAACUACAAGAACAGAAUAGAGAGAAAGAAGAGAGGUGGUCACGUGUCGAACCACGAUGUGAAGCCUUUUGUAGAGGUUUUGGUGGUCUGGCAUGAGUUGGAUGAGUUAGAAGCGGUGGAUGUCAGCAACCGUGGUGGUGGUGAUGAUGAUGGUAGUGACGGUGAGACUGACGGUGGUUGUGGUGGUUGCGGAGCAGAGGAAGAGGUGGAGAAAGGAUCAGUGAGACGGCUCGUGAAUUUUAUUGGGGAGAGGAUUUGUGGCGUUUGGAGUCCAUAGAAAAAAAGAAAGGAUUAGAUAUAGAAAAAAUAGCUCUUCUCUGCUCCUAAAACUUAACUCUGCUCUUUUCUUCUUUAUAUUUCCUCUUAUUUAUUUUCUCCCCUUCCCCCUUGUUUAUACCUACCCUUUUUGAUAAUGUAAAAUGUGUAUUUUGAAUUAGCAAAAGCUUUUCUCUCUGAAA